AGAGUUUGAUCCUGGCUCAGGAUGAACGCUAGCGGCAGGCCUAAUACAUGCAAGUCGAACGGUAACAUGAGAGCUUGCUCUUGAUGACGAGUGGCGCACGGGUGCGUAACGCGUAUGCAACCUACCCUUUACUGGAGGAUAGCCCGGAGAAAUUCGGAUUAAUACUCCAUAGUACCAUAAUGUAACAUUAUAUAGUGGUUAAAGAUUUAUUGGUAAAGGAUGGGCAUGCGUGACAUUAGUUAGUUGGUAAGGUAACGGCUUACCAAGACGAUGAUGUCUAGGGGUUCUGAGAGGAAGAUCCCCCACACUGGUACUGAGACACGGACCAGACUCCUACGGGAGGCAGCAGUAGGGAAUAUUGGUCAAUGGGCGAGAGCCUGAACCAGCCAUGCCGCGUGCAGGAAGACGGCCUUCUGGGUUGUAAACUGCUUUUAUAUAGGAACAAAGAGGCCAUGCGUGGCAAGUUGAGUGUACUAUAUGAAUAAGCACCGCUAACU
This 497-nucleotide ribosomal RNA is filed under the name uncultured bacterium. RNAcentral's name for it is "bacterial SSU rRNA". It matches the Rfam family "Bacterial small subunit ribosomal RNA", at positions 8 to 502 of the family's 1533-position model. The record is from RNAcentral.